Molecule: transfer RNA, 68 nt
Filed under: Amblycirrhitus pinos (redspotted hawkfish)
Lineage: Eukaryota; Metazoa; Chordata; Actinopteri; Centrarchiformes; Cirrhitidae
Description: tRNA-Ser
Source: RNAcentral
GAGAGAGGCCUGCUCGCAGCAAAGACUGCUAAUCUUCGCCUCCCUGGUUGAACUCCAGGGCUCACUCG